UAGGGAAUCUUCGGCAAUGGACGAAAGCCUGAUCCAGCAAUGCCGCGUGUGUGAAGAAGGUCUUCGGAUUGUAAAGCACUUUCGACGGGGACGAUGAUGACGGUACCCGUAGAAGAAGCCCCGGCUAACUUCGUGCCAG
This 139-nucleotide ribosomal RNA is filed under the name uncultured bacterium. Its description in RNAcentral is "partial 16S ribosomal RNA". It matches the Rfam family "Bacterial small subunit ribosomal RNA", at positions 355 to 511 of the family's 1533-position model. The record is from RNAcentral.